RNAcentral lists this ribosomal RNA (252 nucleotides) under uncultured bacterium. RNAcentral describes it as "partial 16S ribosomal RNA". It matches the Rfam family "Bacterial small subunit ribosomal RNA", at positions 524 to 776 of the family's 1533-position model. The record is from RNAcentral.
UACGUAGGGAGCGAGCGUUGUCCGGAAUCACUGGGCGUAAAGGGCGCGUAGGCGGUCAUGUAAGUCAGAUGUGAAAACCCGGGGCUCAACCCCGGCCUUGCAUUUGAAACUGCAUGACUUGAGGAUGAGAGAGGAAAGUGGAAUUCCUAGUGUAGCGGUGAAAUGCGUAGAUAUUAGGAGGAACACCAGUGGCGAAGGCGACUUUCUGGCUCAUACCUGACGCUGAGGCGCGAAAGCGUGGUAGCAAACAGG